GUGCAUCGGGUCCUACUUCUU
This 21-nucleotide non-coding RNA is filed under the name Arabidopsis thaliana (thale cress). Lineage: Eukaryota; Viridiplantae; Streptophyta; Magnoliopsida; Brassicales; Brassicaceae. The record is from RNAcentral.